GACGAACGCUGGCGGCGUGCUUAACACAUGCAAGUCGAACGGUAAGGCCCUUCGGGGUACACGAGUGGCGAACGGGUGAGUAACACGUGGGUGAUCUGCCCUGCACUUUGGGAUAAGCCUGGGAAACUGGGUCUAAUACCGAAUAUACCCUGCUGGUCGCAUGGCCUGGUGGGGGAAAGCUUUUGCGGUGUGGGAUGGGCCCGCGGCCUAUCAGCUUGUUGGUGGGGUGAUGGCCUACCAAGGCGACGACGGGUAGCCGGCCUGAGAGGGUGACCGGCCACACUGGGACUGAGAUACGGCCCAGACUCCUACGAGAGGCAGCAGUGGGGAAUAUUGCACAAUGGGCGCAAGCCUGAUGCAGCGACGCCGCGUGAGGGAUGACGGCCUUCGGGUUGUAAACCUCUUUCAAUAGGGACGAAGCGCAAGUGACGGUGCCUAUAGAAGAAGGGCCGGCCAACUACGUGCCAGCCGCCGCUGUAA
RNAcentral lists this ribosomal RNA (480 nucleotides) under uncultured bacterium. RNAcentral's name for it is "partial 16S ribosomal RNA". It matches the Rfam family "Bacterial small subunit ribosomal RNA", at positions 28 to 523 of the family's 1533-position model. The record is from RNAcentral.